UGAAUUAUUUCGGGCAACCAUUCAGCCCAUU
RNAcentral lists this non-coding RNA (31 nucleotides) under Homo sapiens (human). Lineage: Eukaryota; Metazoa; Chordata; Mammalia; Primates; Hominidae. The record is from RNAcentral.